UGUCAGUCUUGUUCAACAUAAUUUCCCCGUCAGGCACGUGUGAAAGUGUUUGAGUGUUUGUGUCCGUGUGGAAGCGUGUAUUUUUUUCCCUGGCUGUCAAUUACACGGCCCGUCAGCACAGCACAGGCACGCAUCGGGUACAGGAAUCGGGACCGGAACAACUGCGUUAACAGGCGAGAUUCGGCCGGGGAGCACCGACCGGAUGAUCACAGAGAUCAGAGAGCAGAGACCAGCCGCAUAGCCACAUGUGCGUAAAAUUACGUUCACCAGUUGCGACUGCGACCUCAGCAACCUGCGACAAACACGAACCGGGUGUAACGAAACGGAACGGAUGUGUGGAUUCCCCAAAAAUGAACACGUGAAACGAGCAGUACAACAUAUUACCAAAGGAGAUAUGCGCGCUGACCCAUUUCCAGACCGCGUGAAAGAACUUCCGAACAAGGCAGCCAGUCGGAGCAGGAAGCAAAACAGAGCAGAAGAUACAGAAACACUCCCAGCAGCAGCCGCCGCCGCCGCCGCCCGAAAAUGCCGGUGAUAAUUGCGUUCAAUUAAUCAAAAGAUCACAACCAUGAAAUUAUUAAACAGACAGACAAAACCCCGUGUGCGUGCGUGUGUGUGGGGGGAGAAGAGAAGAGAGCAGAUUACAAAACGAUACACCAACCGGUACCAAACAAAUGAGGAUCAGGAAAGCUUACCGGGGCCGGACGGACGGGCGUGGGAGGAAUUCGGUGAAACAGGAAAACCAGAAAACCAGGAACAACCAGGAAGGAUCGACACUCUUUGACUUUUUUUGGCUUUUGAUGACUUAAUACGGGUGACAGAAUAAUAUCAGAAUAAUCGGGACCAUUUUUAAAGGAAGACAUUUUGGAUCGAACUAUGAAAUGAAGGUAAACAUUAUUGAAGUGCUUGAGUUGUCGCUUGAACUUAGUUGGUUUACCAGCCUUCAAGUCAAAUCUUCAACAACACUCAACCUUUUAUUGCAAUCCAGCAGUCGUCGGGUAGUUAAUACUGGUCCAAA
Long non-coding RNA from Anopheles arabiensis, 1018 nucleotides. RefSeq lists it as uncharacterized. NCBI's taxonomy places the organism in Eukaryota, Metazoa, Arthropoda, Insecta, Diptera, Culicidae. The record is from RefSeq and is a predicted model, not a curated record. The transcript is spliced from 3 exons.